GACGAACGCUGGCGGCGUGCUUAACACAUGCAAGUCGAACGGAAAGACCCUGCUUUUGUGGGGUGCUCGAGUGGCGCACGGGUGAGUAACACGUGAGUAACCUGCCCUUGACUUUGGGAUAACUUCAGGAAACUGGGGCUAAUACCGGAUAUGAGCUCCUGCUGCAUGGUGUGGGUUGGUAAGUUUCGGCGGUUGGGGAUGGACUCGCGGCUUAUCAGCUUGUUGGUGGGGUAGUGGCUUACCAAGGCUUUGACGGGUAGCCGGCCUGAGAGGUUUACCGGAGACAUGGGGACUGAGAUACGGCCCAGACGCCUACGGGAGGCAGCAGGGGGGAAUAUUGCACAAUGGGCGGAAGCCUGAUGCAGCAACGCCGCGUGCGGGAUGACGGCCUUCGGGUGGUAAACCGCUGUCUCCGGUGACGAAGCGUGAGUGACGGUAAUGGGUAAAGAAGCACCGGCUAACUACGUG
RNAcentral lists this ribosomal RNA (468 nucleotides) under uncultured bacterium. Its description in RNAcentral is "partial 16S ribosomal RNA". It matches the Rfam family "Bacterial small subunit ribosomal RNA", at positions 28 to 507 of the family's 1533-position model. The record is from RNAcentral.